Molecule: ribosomal RNA, 253 nt
Filed under: uncultured bacterium
Lineage: Bacteria
Description: partial 16S ribosomal RNA
Rfam family: Bacterial small subunit ribosomal RNA
Source: RNAcentral
UACGUAGGGUGCAAGCGUUAAUCGGAAUUACUGGGCGUAAAGCGUGCGCAGGCGGCUAUGCAAGUCAGAUGUGAAAUCCCCGGGCUCAACCUGGGAACUGCAUUUGUGAGUGCAUGGCUAGAGUACGGUAGAGGGGGAUGGAAUUCCGCGUGUAGCAGUGAAAUGCGUAGAUAUGCGGAGGAACACCGAUGGCGAAGGCAAUCCCCUGGACCUGUACUGACGCUCAUGCACGAAAGCGUGGGGAGCAAACAGG